This 252-nucleotide ribosomal RNA is filed under the name uncultured bacterium. RNAcentral's name for it is "partial 16S ribosomal RNA". It matches the Rfam family "Bacterial small subunit ribosomal RNA", at positions 524 to 776 of the family's 1533-position model. The record is from RNAcentral.
UACGAAGGGGGCUAGCGUUGCUCGGAAUCACUGGGCGUAAAGCGCACGUAGGCGGAUCGUUAAGUCAGGGGUGAAAUCCUGGAGCUCAACUCCAGAACUGCCUUUGAUACUGGCGAUCUUGAGUUCGAGAGAGGUGAGUGGAACUGCGAGUGUAGAGGUGAAAUUCGUAGAUAUUCGCAAGAACACCAGUGGCGAAGGCGCUCACUGGCUCGAUACUGACGCUGAGGCACGAAAGCCAGGGGAGCAAACGGG